CUCAUGUAAGUCAGUUGCUGGUU
RNAcentral lists this non-coding RNA (23 nucleotides) under Cricetulus griseus (Chinese hamster). The record is from RNAcentral. Lineage: Eukaryota; Metazoa; Chordata; Mammalia; Rodentia; Cricetidae.